GUUGGUUUGUGUGGUGAAGCUCUUGUUGAGGCCAUAAUUCGUGGAAUGACAGAAAGUAGGCUGACUUCUAAAAAAAUUGGAAACAACCAUGGGUAAGUGGAAGCAUGCAAGUUGGAAACAAGGAAACAAGGAAUUGAUAGAGUCAUCUUCUGAUUGAAAAUAUUCAAGACCAAUUGUUUGAACCUGUCUUGUCAUUGGAAAAACAAAUAUAUAUGGCAAAAGAGGGAUUGAAAGGCAAUUAUCAUGUUGGUAUUAGGAGUUAUCUGUGGGACAUUCUUGGGUGGCUUACAAUUCAUUGUGGAGAAAAUUUAAACCCUUGUACUCGUGGUAGUGAGCUCUGCAUCAACUUACUAAUUACAUGUGCAUGGUAAAUUGUAUUCCUUCCAUUAUCAUUUCUUGAUGAUUUAACAUGUGUAUAAACUUAAAGAUAAAUAACUUAUCCUAUGUCUCUGUUUCUUGCUACUGCUGUUGAUUAUAUUUCUGAAAAUUUUCAGCUGACCUUUUAUUUCACCCGUUGUUGCUUGCCAAAUUCACUAAUUCUAAUUUUUCCUUUCUCUAUAGCUUGAGUUUUGUGGAUACACUUGAAAAAUGGUGCAGAAUUUGGCAAAAGGAUAUUGAUGAUCAUUUUCAAAAGUGAACCAGUAUUAAGGGCUGUUCUAAUGAUGAUUCAUAUUAUCAGAUGUACUAAAGGUGAAAGGCAUGCUAUGUUUGAAAAGCUUACUACAUACUCUAGAUUAUACAUCAUCCCUGGAAAGCUAUGGAUCAUUUGAUAAACUUCAACUGGUUGUUAAUUUAAUUGGGUUUACUUGUUUUUCAUUAAAUAAUAUGCCCAUUUCAGUAUAUUUAUUGAGAGUUCUAUCAAAAGCCUGAUAAGAACCUUGGAGCCCAAGGACUUGUAAACUCUGCACUAAAACUUCUAAUGUGGGACUCAACUCUCACAACACCUUUCAAUUAUAGAUAAAGAUUGAUAUGUUUUUCUUCACAAACAUAUUCUAACUAUCCUUUGAAAACUCACUAAUGGUAUUCUUGAGCCCUUGGUUGGAAGUGACGUGCAAUCAUGUUUGUUAUCAUGACGGUUUGCAUUGUUAUGUUCUUCCAUGUUAACUUCAUUUCAACUCUUAAUUUGUCUAGGAUAUCCUUGGAAAUCAGGUGCAAGAAUUUUUCAUUUCUAAUGAGACACUUUGCAAGCCUCUUUGCUUUAAUUUUUGUUUCCUUCUACACUUGGAUCCUGUCUCCUAUGGUCUCUCUUAAAUAUUAUUCAUUCAUUGUUGCAGUCAUUCACAAGUAAUAAAAGUUGAUAUUAGCUAGCAAGCAUUGAUUAAACUAGUGCAAUGGUUUUAUUAUGAUGAGCUACCUGAUCCUCCCUCUGGAUGCUUGUGGGAUAAUAUGGAUGAUAAAGAAAAGCUAUUUAAUCUACAACCAUAUGUGGAGUUUUAUUGACUUUCUGAGUUUUGGAUUUUUGGAAAAUAUUCAGGAAGCUUGCUGGAAUUGAUGGAAGAGGCCCCAACACCCAAAAGAGCGUCUAGGACCAACCUUGCAUGAAAGGCAACCAAGAGAGCGUCUAGGACCAACCUUGCAUAGAGGGCACCCACAAGUAGCGUCUAGGCCACACAAGAAGUGUCUAGGCCACACAAGGAGCGUCAAAGAGAGUUGACAUCCAAGAAGGGUGACGUCCAAGAAGGCCUAACAAAGUGUAGCUUAGUCUUAUUUGUGGUGUAAAUAGCAUAGCCUUAUGAACCUUUGUUUAAAUUCUGCAAAUUAGGAUUAAGGAGGAGUUAACCUAGAUUAGCUACGGUUUCUAGAAGCUCUCCACUAAUCUAGGACGUCCAUGUGCAAGUUAGGAGGCCAUGUGCACCCAUGUGUCAUGUGCUCCAUGUGCUACU
This 1883-nucleotide long non-coding RNA is filed under the name Phaseolus vulgaris (common bean). Its description in RNAcentral is "long non-coding RNA (PVUL_LNC002918)". Lineage: Eukaryota; Viridiplantae; Streptophyta; Magnoliopsida; Fabales; Fabaceae. The record is from RNAcentral.